This is a long non-coding RNA of Pezoporus occidentalis (night parrot), 537 nucleotides long. RefSeq lists it as uncharacterized. NCBI's taxonomy places the organism in Eukaryota, Metazoa, Chordata, Aves, Psittaciformes, Psittacidae. The transcript has 2 exons. The record is from RefSeq and is a predicted model, not a curated record.
CCUUCCUGCGGCGGCCACCCGGGGGCUGCAGCGGGCAGCAGCCGGGCUCGGCGCUCCCCCGCCGCCCGCUCCGCACGUGGAUCACAAGCAGACCAGACAAGCCCUGGUGCUAGUGCAAGGGAGGGACACAUUUAUGAAGACAGAGGGAGAGUGUGACUGCAACAGCUACACCUGACAUCAGCUUAAGAGAUGGGCACCCAGCUCCAUCCGUGAGCAUCACCUGGAGUUCAUCAGCAGAAGGUCACUCAGGCUGGCACAGGGUUGCCUGUGCAUGACUUUGCUUCUCCAUGUGAAAUGGAAUCAUUCAUCUGGUGGACAAAAGUAAUGCUGCUGCUCUGAGAGAUUUAGACAUACACCAAGUGCAUUAAAUGAACAGAUAAAUGUGACAAGACUUGCAAUACUACUAGCCAAAAUCAUUAUAUCACAAAAUUCUUAGCACCAAAGUUUUUUUAAAUUAUCAGCAUCUUGUCAAUAAAUAAUGGCAUGUGAAGGUCUUAUUAAAAGAAAAGUUUGUGUUUGUAUGGUUAUAGAGAAAAU